RNAcentral lists this transfer RNA (71 nucleotides) under Staphylococcus aureus. Its description in RNAcentral is "tRNA-Asn". It matches the Rfam family "tRNA". Rfam says of the family: Transfer RNA (tRNA) molecules are approximately 80 nucleotides in length. Their secondary structure includes four short double-helical elements and three loops (D, anti-codon, and T loops). The record is from RNAcentral. Lineage: Bacteria; Bacillati; Bacillota; Bacilli; Caryophanales; Staphylococcaceae. RNAcentral also lists the same sequence under 3 other names.
CAGUAGCUCAGUGGUAGAGCUAUCGGCUGUUAACCGAUCGGUCGUAGGUUCGAGUCCUACCUGUGGAGCCA